This 448-nucleotide ribosomal RNA is filed under the name uncultured bacterium. Its description in RNAcentral is "SSU rRNA". It matches the Rfam family "Bacterial small subunit ribosomal RNA", at positions 26 to 518 of the family's 1533-position model. The record is from RNAcentral.
AGAGCGAACGCUGGCGGCAGGCCUAACACAUGCAAGUCGAGCGCCCGUAGCAAUACGGGAGCGGCAGACGGGAUAGUAACACGUGGGAACGCGCCCUUCGGUUCGGAAUAACUCAGGGAAACUUGAGCUAAUACCGGAUACGCCCUUACGGGGAAAGAUUUAUUGCCGAAGGAACGGCCCGCGUCCGAUUAGCUAGUUGGUGAGGUAAUGGCUCACCAAGGCGACGAUCGGUAGCUGGUCUGAGAGGAUGACCAGCAUCACUGGGACUGAGACACGGCCCAGACUCCUACGGGAGGCAGCGGUGGGGAAUAUUGGACAAUGGGCGCAAGCCUGAUCCAGCCAUGCCGCGUGAGUGAUGAAGGCCCUAGGGUUGUAAAGCUCUUUUGUGCGGGAAGAUAAUGACGGUACCGCAAGAAUAAGCCCCGGCUAACUUCGUGCCAGCAGCCGC